RNAcentral lists this long non-coding RNA (3348 nucleotides) under Hordeum vulgare. RNAcentral's name for it is "long non-coding RNA (HVUL_LNC020678)". The record is from RNAcentral. Lineage: Eukaryota; Viridiplantae; Streptophyta; Magnoliopsida; Poales; Poaceae.
UAGUGAACUACCUCGGCCAACGCUGGCCGAAGGAGAGAGAAUAUAGAUCGGGAACGGGAAAUCAAGCAGAAAAUCAAGCCGAAGGAACGGAUUAAGGAGGAGGCCGGCGGCGACGUUGAUCCCCCUUUCACCGCUCUGAUCUCGUCCAAGACUUUGGUUCAUUUGAGGCAACAUUUGACGGAAUAGUGCCAAAAGACAAAGUAAAUUUAUUCUUCAACAGAAGAAUGUCUGCAUGCUAGAUGCUACUUCUAGAUUUUAGUAUUGCACUUGUUUUGUGUUCCUUGUGGAAUAUAAGGUUUCUUCAAUUCAGUAUGUACAGGCCAUUAUAGAUGUCAUGUAUUCGUAAUGGGCUACUAUUGAUUAGUAAUUCCUGGCAUGCAUUUAUGUGUUUUUCUUAACCUGAAUGGUGUUACACAGACCUUGGUUCUAGUUCCUAGUAAACUUUUAUAUGCAAGUGAGCUAUGCUAAGCUGAACUAUGCUAUUUUAUUUUUGGAUAGGAACCUUACGUCUUUGCACAAAGUAAUUUCGUCCAUGACAAGUAGGAAUUUCUUCUAAGCUAAUAUAAAUGUCUUUCAGCAAGGAGGAAUUUCUUCCGUACACACAGAAAUGUCUUCUGAGCACGGAGGAAUUUUGUCCCUAAACCACGGAAUUUUGUCUGUACGCACAGAAAUUACGUACGCAUACACAGAAAUUUCGUCCAGGACAAGUAGGAAUUUCUCCUAAGCUUUCUGAGCACGGAGGAAUUUUGUCCCAACAUAUAGUCUCUAGGAGGAAUUUCGCCGUUGAAGGAGCACCGCAAAACCAUAAUAAUUUCCUUGAGUUGGUACUGUCUGCUACCCUAGUUUUCUGCACAAAACAAAAGAACAAUGAAUCCCGUUAGUAACAUAAUACCAUGGAGCUGCUAUGCUAGAACACUUUAGCUAGUCAAUAAGUGGAUGUCUCUGGAUCUUUUGGAAAGCAAGGAAUGACGGAAUUUUGAACAACCACCAUUGAGCCUAAAACAGGCGUCCACACUUAGCAUCUGAAGCUGCUUCUUUUCUUUCUUUUUUCUUAUUCUAAUACUCUUUGUAGUUGUUGUAAAUGUAAAAACCAAAAACAGGCUUUAAGCCCAAAAUGAAGUAUAUAAGACAGAGAUUUCUUAAAAACUUUAAAAAAAGUGGACUGCAGAGGUUUCACUAAAAUACUUCUUCUGCUCAGAUACUAUAGCUGCGCUAACAGCCCAAGAACGCACGACUCCAACGCAGGGCAAAAAAGAAUCUAUUAGCAUGUGUGCCUGAUUUACCAUUUAAGAAAACAGGCUCAAACCUGAAGAAUGAAUGAACAUGUCAAUAUUUACCUGAAGUCAAUUGUCUCUCAGGAUGGAGGUCAUUCCAUUGGUGGCAAUAGAGCCGGUGUGCCAGUUCGAUUCUGUAAGGUUCCAUGUCCUGCAAGAUCAAGAAGCAAACAACAAACUACUUAGUUAAUAGUCACAUAUCUCAUUAUAUAAUAUAUAAUAGAAGUUUCAGUUACCGCUGGCAUCUCGACUAGUUCCCUCCCCUUAUGGCAUUCAAGCGCCUUUAUCACAAACAUACCACAAUCAUUGUUAGGACAUAAAAAACCGUGGCGAUGAACUCGGCGUGGCUGGUACGUGUAUGGGCGCGCACCGGGCACGUCGGGUGCAUCGGGUUCACGGGCUAGGUGUGCGUGUGUGAGCGUGUGUGUGUUGCACGGGGUGACCAAGCACUCGCGCACAGUAGGCGUAGGAAUACAAGGCAGGCAGUUAGCUAGCUAUACGGCGAUCUCGCGCAAGUCCGUUGGAGCUGGCCGCGAGCUGCGCGCGGGAACGCGUCGUAGCGGAGCGAGGCGUGCGGAUCGUGGGCGCGAGAAGGCAGGGAAUGAGGGUGCGUGCCCGGUCACUUGCCUGGGUAUAAAGCUGUAUGGUUACGUUGUACUGGAGCCGGCAAUUGAGUUCAUGCUCAAGAUAAAAAGGAAGCCGUUCGUGCGGCUGUCGUGCGCCAGGAAACUUCCUGUGUCCCUUUUCUUCUUCUUUCCCUGAUCGUUUGACGAGAGUGCAGAGAGACAGGGAGAGGUAGGGCUACGGCCAGCUAGGGCAAGAGCUGGGCUACUCCAACAAUCAUGACUGGGAAAUAAAAUGCCAACAAAUUAGGUUUAUGCUUUCCGAAAAAGAAAAAAAUAGAAUCAGUUCUAUGCUGUUUUCAACAAACCAUUGAAGCUAACUAGUGUAUGGCAUAACCCACCUGUUUUCCUGCUCCGGAAAGUCUGGAUACAUCACUUGGAGGUCUGUAGCAGCUGGUAUAUUGAGGAAUGCUGUUGCAGGGUAGUUCCUUAUUUCAUCAAUCUGCGAAGAACACAUCAUGUCAAAGAAAUCAAAUAUGUUACAGUAUUUUAGAGCCCUAACAUCCAUAGGUACAGUUAAGCAACAGACUUUACCAAUGUGCCCAAGAAAACUGGAAGUGUGUCCCUUUUUCCCAGCGAGUCAUAGAUCUCAAUAUAUUUCAGAUCAGCAGCUAGAUAUAGUAUUGCAAGAAUCCAGUAUUUACUAUUUAAUGAUGGCAGAUACAGCUGCAAGUAAAUUGUUGGAUUAGCAAAGUAAUUUCAUAUUCGAAUUUCAAAAUGAUUUUGCUAGAAUAUACAUUUCCUCAUUGUCUUACCGUCUCAAGAUCAGUUUGUGGAAUCUGACGGAGACAUUGAUGUAAUCGUCCAAGAUUGGCCUCUGGUCCUUGUGCCUCAGUCUGUUUUGGAUGCAAACAAAAUUUUGUGAGGUUUUAACUCAACACCAAUUGGAAAAAAAAAACUGUAUUGGUACGUACCAAUGCAACUGGAUCAAUGAUAAACCUUUUCGGGUCAUUCCAAUCCGCCAUCAUAGUAUGUGUGCACAGCGACAUGAAAGAGACACUUAUCUCGCCAUCAACCUUCAAAUUUGCACUAUAUUCUCCACAAGUUAUAUGAUGACCUUUAAUUAGUACAAGUGUGUCAAGCUUUUUGUGAUUUGCUACUUCCCCAGCCACAAACUUCGCGUAAACAUCUUCAGGAGUACACCUGUUGGAGACUUGAUGGAUCUCUUCAGCUUCCUGCUGCUUGUGAUUGGGAAAUUUCUCACCAUGUGGAAUAGGACUAGCAAGAGAAGAAAUUUGUCGACGAACUUGUGCAGUCAAGCCAUCAUUUAUCACGAUUGCGGCGUUCCCCGAAGAGGUCCCUAAAGAGAUUGUCAAUAUGUCAUGUGUCGAUCAUAACACAAAAAGCGUAUGAAAUUUUGAAAAUAGCUUAACAUUACCAGAUUUUUCGAUCGCUCCAAAUGUUUGAUCGAACGCGUAACACAUCAUUUUUAUCCUACCAUCAUAAGCUUG